This 443-nucleotide ribosomal RNA is filed under the name uncultured bacterium. RNAcentral describes it as "partial 16S ribosomal RNA". It matches the Rfam family "Bacterial small subunit ribosomal RNA", at positions 338 to 795 of the family's 1533-position model. The record is from RNAcentral.
CCUACGGGGUGCAGCAGUAGGGAAUCUUUCACAAUGGGCGAAAGCCUGAUGGAGCAACGCCGCGUGCAGGAUGAAGGCCUUCGGGUUGUAAACUGCUUUUCUCAGGGACGAAGCAAGUGACGGUACCUGAGGAAUAAGCCACGGCUAACUACGUGCCAGCAGCGGCGGUAAUACGUAGGUGGCAAGCGUUAUCCGGAUUUACUGGGUGUAAAGGGCUUGUAGGCGGGAAAGCAAGUCUGAUGUGAAAACCAUGGGCUCAACCUGUGGCCUGCAUUUGAAACUGUUUUUAUUGAGUACUGGAGAGGCAGACGGAACGCCUAGUGUAGCGGUGAACUUCGUAGAUAUUAGGAGGAACUCCAGUGGCGCAGGCGGUCUGCUGGACAGCAACUGACGCUGAGGCGCGAAAGCGUGGGGAGCAAACAGGAUUAGAUACCCCUGUAGUC